GAUGAACGCUGGCGGCGUGCCUAAUACAUGCAAGUCGAGCGAACGGACGAGAAGCUUGCUUCUCUGAUGUUAGCGGCGGACGGGUGAGUCACACGUGGAUAACCUACCUAUAAGACUGGGAUAACUUCGGGAAACCGUAGCUAAUACCGGAUAAUAUUUUGAACCGCAUGGUUCAAAAGUGAAAGACGGUCUUGCUGUCACUUAUAGAUGGAUCCGCGCUGCAUUAGCUAGUUGGUAAGGUAACGGCUUACCAAGGCAACGAUGCAUAGCCGACCUGAGAGGGUGAUCGGCCACACUGGAACUGAGACACGGUCCAGACUCCUACGGGAGGCAGCAGUAGGGAAUCUUCCGCAAUGGGCGAAAGCCUGACGGAGCAACGCCGCGUGAGUGAUGAAGGUCUUCGGAUCGUAAAACUCUGUUAUUAGGGAAGAACAUAUGUGUAAGUAACUGUGCACAUCUUGACGGUACCUAAUCAGAAAGCCACGGCUAACUACGUG
RNAcentral lists this ribosomal RNA (497 nucleotides) under uncultured bacterium. Its description in RNAcentral is "partial 16S ribosomal RNA". It matches the Rfam family "Bacterial small subunit ribosomal RNA", at positions 28 to 507 of the family's 1533-position model. The record is from RNAcentral.